UAGGCUACGUUUUAAUAAGCUAUAUGUAAAUAUAGUGCUUAGGCGGAGCUUACUAACACACAAAUUAAAGAUUAAAUUAGUAUUGAAUGAAACUUUGUUUAUAUAUCGAUAAUGACGAUAUAUAUAUUAUGUCUUGACCAAUUACGUGCCAGCAGUCGCGGUAAUACGUAAGAGACUAGUGUUAUUCAUCUUAAUUAGGUUUAAAGGGUACUCAAACGGUCUGUUUUGCACAAAAGACUAGAGUUAUAUAGAAGAAGGUAGUACCUUAAGUGUAGAGAUAAAAUUUUGUUAUACUGGAGGGACUUAGAAAAGGCGUAGGCAACCUUCUAAGUAAUAACUGACGUUGAAGGACGAAGGCAUAGGUCACGAACAGGACUAGUAACCCAAGUAGUCUUUGCAGUCAAUGAUGAAUGCCAUAGGUUAGAUAAAAAUUUAGUCUAUAAAUGAAAAUGUAAGCAUUUCACCUCAAGAGUAAUGUGGCAACGCAGGAACUGAAAUCACUAGACCGUUUCUGACACCAGUAGUGAAGUAUGUUAUUUAAUUC
Molecule: ribosomal RNA, 544 nt
Filed under: Beauveria bassiana
Lineage: Eukaryota; Fungi; Ascomycota; Sordariomycetes; Hypocreales; Cordycipitaceae
Description: SSU rRNA
Rfam family: Bacterial small subunit ribosomal RNA
Source: RNAcentral